Molecule: ribosomal RNA, 424 nt
Filed under: uncultured prokaryote
Description: bacterial SSU rRNA
Rfam family: Bacterial small subunit ribosomal RNA
Source: RNAcentral
UGGGGAAUCUUGGACAAUGGGGGCAACCCUGAUCCAGCCAUGCCGCGUGGGUGAAGAAGGCCUUAGGGUUGUAAAGCCCUUUCAGUCGUGACGAUGAUGACGGUAGCGACAGAAGAAGCCCCGGCUAACUCCGUGCCAGCAGCCGCGGUAAUACGGAGGGUGCAAGCGUUGUCCGGAUUUAUUGGGUUUAAAGGGUGCGUAGGCGGUUUAUUAAGUCAGUGGUGAAAGCCCACAGCUCAACUGUGGAAUUGCCAAUGAAACUGGUAGACUUGAGUACAGUCGAGGUAGGCGGAAUUUAUGGUGUAGCGGUGAAAUGCAUAGAUACCAUAAAGAACCCCGAUAGCGAAGGCAGCUUACUAGAGUGUAACUGACGCUGAGGCACGAAAGCGUGGGGAGCGAACAGGAUUAGAUACCCCUGUAGUCC